This 326-nucleotide long non-coding RNA is filed under the name Homo sapiens (human). Its description in RNAcentral is "HSALNT0139476". The record is from RNAcentral. Lineage: Eukaryota; Metazoa; Chordata; Mammalia; Primates; Hominidae.
AACAAUGAUGAGUUCAAAUGGAAACAUACAGCCUUUCAACACUGGCUCCAAGAGAUGGCAUCUAGAAGAAACAGACUGAUUCUGCAGAGUUCUGAAGGGAGCAGGUGACUUAGCAAUUCUGUCUUCAGUUUCUCUGUGGACAUCAUCAAUGUUUUCCUGUGCUCCAGUUGUCAAACUUCAUCAGCGAAAUGUUGGGGUCAUUUAAAGCUGCUGCUUUGCAUUCACUGAAACGACUAACAACCACAAGGAAACAUGGUUUCUCCGACAGCAAUGAAUAAAACAAUUGCCUGACUAAAGAGGAGAUAUCCUCUUUAGAUAAAACGACU